This 465-nucleotide ribosomal RNA is filed under the name uncultured bacterium. RNAcentral's name for it is "bacterial SSU rRNA". It matches the Rfam family "Bacterial small subunit ribosomal RNA", at positions 50 to 524 of the family's 1533-position model. The record is from RNAcentral.
AACACAUGCAAGUCGAGCGGGAAAGUCUCCUUCGGGGGGCGAGUACAGCGCGAACGGGUGAGUAACACGUAGGCAACCUACCCUGAAGUCUGGGAUAAUUGUCGAAAGGCGGGCUAAUACCAGAUAAGACCACGAGGGCCCCGGCCUCGCGGUAAAAGAUGGCCUCUGCUUGCACGCUAUCACUCCGGGAUGGGCCGCGCGCCAUUAGCUAGUUGGUGAGGUAACGGCUCACCAAGGCUCAGAUGCUAGCUGGUCUGAGAGGAUGACCAGCCACACUGGGACUGAGACACGGCCAGACUCCUACGGGAGGCAGCAGUGGGGAAUAUUGGACAAUGGGCGCAAGCUGAUCCAGCCAUGCCGCGUGAGUGAUGAUGGCCCUAGGGUUGUAAAGCCUUUCAGCGGGGAAGAUAAUGACGGUACCCGCAGAAGAAGCCCCGGCUACUUCGUGCCAGCAGCCGCGGUAAU